This 1189-nucleotide ribosomal RNA is filed under the name Streptomyces fradiae. Its description in RNAcentral is "bacterial SSU rRNA". It matches the Rfam family "Bacterial small subunit ribosomal RNA", at positions 72 to 1266 of the family's 1533-position model. Lineage: Bacteria; Bacillati; Actinomycetota; Actinomycetes; Kitasatosporales; Streptomycetaceae. The record is from RNAcentral.
UCAACCUUCCGGGCUUGGGGUUUAGUGGCGACGGGUGAGUAACACGUGGGCAAUCUGCCCUGCACUCUGGGACAAGCCCUGGAAACGGGGUCUAAUACCGGAUACUGACCUGCCAAGGCAUCUUGGCGGGUCGAAAGCUCCGGCGGUGCAGGAUGAGCCCGCGGCCUAUCAGCUUGUUGGUGAGGUAAUGGCUCACCAAGGCGACGACGGGUAGCCGGCCUGAGAGGGCGACCGGCCACACUGGGACUGAGACACGGCCCAGACUCCUACGGGAGGCAGCAGUGGGGAAUAUUGCACAAUGGGCGAAAGCCUGAUGCAGCGACGCCGCGUGAGGGAUGACGGCCUUCGGGUUGUAAACCUCUUUCAGCAGGGAAGAAGCGAAAGUGACGGUACCUGCAGAAGAAGCGCCGGCUAACUACGUGCCAGCAGCCGCGGUAAUACGUAGGGCGCAAGCGUUGUCCGGAAUUAUUGGGCGUAAAGAGCUCGUAGGCGGCUUGUCGCGUCGGUUGUGAAAGCCCGGGGCUUAACCCCGGGUCUGCAGUCGAUACGGGCAGGCUAGAGUUCGGUAGGGGAGAUCGGAAUUCCUGGUGUAGCGGUGAAAUGCGCAGAUAUCAGGAGGAACACCGGUGGCGAAGGCGGAUCUCUGGGCCGAUACUGACGCUGAGGAGCGAAAGCGUGGGGAGCGAACAGGAUUAGAUACCCUGGUAGUCCACGCCGUAAACGGUGGGCACUAUGUGUGGGCAACAUUCCACGUUGUCCGUGCCGCAGCUAACGCAUUAAGUGCCCCGCCUGGGGAGUACGCCCGCAAGGCUAAAACUCAAAGGAAUUGACGACGGGGGCCCGCACAAGCGGCGGAGCAUGUGGCUUAAUUCGACGCAACGCGAAGAACCUUACCAAGGCUUGACAUACACCGGAAAGCAUCAGAGAUGGUGCCCCCCUUGUGGUCGGUGUACAGGUGGUGCAUGGCUGUCGUCAGCUCGUGUCGUGAGAUGUUGGGUUAAGUCCCGCAACGAGCGCAACCCUUGUCCCGUGUUGCCAGCAACUCUUCGGAGGUUGGGGACUCACGGGAGACCGCCGGGGUCAACUCGGAGGAAGGUGGGGACGACGUCAAGUCAUCAUGCCCCUUAUGUCUUGGGCUGCACACGUGCUACAAUGGCCGGUACAAUGAGCUGCGAUACCGCAAGGUGGA